UCAACAAGCAAAUGUAAUGCGAAACAUCACUCUCUUAAAAGGGAAAGCGGCAUAUUUCACACUCCUGCCAUCACUUACUCUGAUGAGAGCAAAAAGGUCCCAGAUGAAGGCCACCAUUCCUUAAAAGCACCUGUGUUUCAACAUCAAGGUUAUAAUAGUUAAUUAAAACUAACGAAUAACUAAAAAAAAAACCAACAAAAAACAAGAGUUUAAUUUUCAUUAACAAAAGAAAAUGAAAAUGAGAGUGCUCUCCAAAAAAGAAUAACUGACACUACAAUUUACCUUCGGGGUUAGGGUUAGGGUUAGGGUUAGGGUUGGGUUAUGGUUUCAGGGUUCGGGGUUCAGGGUUAGGUGUUGGGUUUGGGGUUGGGAUUAGGGGUUGAGUUAGGUUUGGGUUGGGGUUAGGGGUUAACUGACUAACUAACUGGUUCAUGCUUGGGGGUUAGAGCUAGGGUUAGUGUUAGGGUUAGGGUUAGGAGUUAGAGUUAGGGGUUAGGGAUUAGAUUUAGGGUUAGGGUUAUGGUUAGUGGUUCAGGUCAGG
Molecule: long non-coding RNA, 541 nt
Organism: Hippocampus zosterae (dwarf seahorse)
Lineage: Eukaryota; Metazoa; Chordata; Actinopteri; Syngnathiformes; Syngnathidae
Exons: 3
Source: RefSeq, a predicted model, not a curated record